This 336-nucleotide long non-coding RNA is filed under the name Androctonus crassicauda. The record is from RNAcentral. Lineage: Eukaryota; Metazoa; Arthropoda; Arachnida; Scorpiones; Buthidae.
CGCUGGAGCGGUAUUGAGGUUGCCUUCAGUAGUAUCAUUCAUAUGCUCUGUGGCCCUGUCUCGAAGGUUCCAUGCUGUUGUUCCGAUGUAUACUUCCAACUGGUUGUCGUUGACGUUCUGUGGGGGGAUUCUGCAUGCACCUGACUUGUGCUCGCUAUUUCUUCUGGAUUUGUCGUUGUGCAAUAGGCUGAAGGUGGUGGAGGCUCUUCUGAAGGUGCUGGCUUUGUUUGCCGACUUGGGGGUGGAUCUAAUAACAGGGUUGGAGUGGGGUCUGUAUGGUGUUGGGGGCUGGUAUUGUGAGGCAGGAGCGGGCUCUGCUUGGGAGGAGGGGCCGGG